Molecule: ribosomal RNA, 548 nt
Filed under: Artemia tibetiana
Lineage: Eukaryota; Metazoa; Arthropoda; Branchiopoda; Anostraca; Artemiidae
Description: partial 16S ribosomal RNA
Source: RNAcentral
CUCAAACUCUGGUUUAUAUCACUAUUUAAAAUAAUAUUAUAUAAGUAAAAGAAUUGAAUUUUAUCCACAAAAAAGUACUGAGAAGGAAAGUUUCGUUAAUUUUAAAGAAGUUAUUUAUUAUACCUUUUGUAUCAGGGUUUAUCUAAUUUUGACCAGUAUUGUCAAAUCCCGAAAUAAGGUGAUCUAUGUUAAUUAAAGAUGACUGUUUCAUAAUUCUCUUCAAGAUUAAUGUCGGUGUAAAAAAUAUUUCGUACCUUUAUAUCUGGUUGGCAUAAGACUCCUUUAGGGUACUCCACAAGGAAGAUUUUCUAGGGGACGAGCUCUAGAAAAAAUUACAUCAAACCACCGUCAGUGAUAUGAAUAGGCUUAAAAGUUGCCAGGGUGUAAUAACCAGGCUCACUUAGAUAAUAAUUUAAAGUUGAUUAAUUCAACCUAGCCAGUGCUGGUUAUUAAUAUCCAGCAGUUAUAAUGAUAAAAUUAGUAUAAGUAUAAAAAUAUAAUAGAAUUUAUUCUAAAAAUUCUGGAAGGAAUUCGGCAAAACUCGCUUC